UGGGGAAUAUUGGGCAAUGGGCGAAAGCCUGACCCAGCGACGCCGCGUGGGUGAUGAAGGCCUUCGGGUUGUAAAGCCCUGUCAUGCGGAAAGAACGACCCUGUGACGCAUACUCACAGGGAGUGACGGUACCGCAGGAGGAAGCACCGGCUAACUCCGUGCCAGCAGCCGCGGUAAUACGGAGGGUGCAAGCGUUGUUCGGAAUUAUUGGGCGUAAAGGGCGCGUAGGCGGUAAUGUAAGUCAGAUGUGAAAUACUCCGGCUCAACCAGAGAACAGCAUCUGAAACUGCAUAACUAGAGUACAGAAGAGGGAAACGGAAUUCCCGGUGUAGAGGUGAAAUUCGUAGAUAUCGGGAGGAACACCAGUGGCGAAGGCGGUUUCCUGGUCUGAUACUGACGCUGAGGCGCGAAAGCGUGGGAAGCAAACAG
Molecule: ribosomal RNA, 429 nt
Filed under: uncultured bacterium
Lineage: Bacteria
Description: bacterial SSU rRNA
Rfam family: Bacterial small subunit ribosomal RNA
Source: RNAcentral